CACCAUCUAAUGCUAGUUGGGGGAGUUUGUGGCUCCGCUCAUCCCCCCAACACGUUGCGCUGGCAGAUGUGCAAUGACUUUGGUGUCCUUUUCACUCUCUUUGAGCAGCCUCAGCAGCAGAAGCGAUGGUCUGGGCUCAGCAUCGCUCACGUGUGUAGGAGAGUCGCAGCGUUAAACAGCGUCUGCUGCCUGGGAGGCUGCUGAGAUCAAAUGUUAGCUCGUCGGCCUGACAGUGGAUCAUCAGCGACGCUGCCUCCUGCUUUCUCCAUGAGAAACCUGCUUAAGGAUGCUGACGAAGGCUUGAUGAAUGAGGACUGAGCAAGCAGAAGGCAGCUGUGGCUAUAACCAACGUCACCGUUCUGACGUCAGGGCCGUGGGGUCGCUCCCUUCCCCGCAAAAGAAAAUAUCAGAAGAGAGUCAGGUUGUGAAACAGCAACCUCUUCAAGUUUUGGCUCCAAAAUCCCCGCUGACUCUUGUGAUUUAUCACUUACCCAGCUGCUCGCAGCUUGCAAAAGAGAAGAGAAAGGGGGAAAAUAUGGAUUUUUUAAGUCUUGGCUUUAAAACCCACAGACUCAAGCCAAGACUCCUGUCAUGGCUGAGGUAAUGAAGGAGGAACAACGUUACCUGUGCCACCAAGAAGCCCCCGCUCGGGGCAGAGCGGGUGAUUUCCAUCAGAUACUGCUUUCCUGCCUUUCUUCCUUGCGGUGAUUACCAGAGGAAUAGCAAAUUUUGCCAUUAAUUUGAAUGUUGCUGUUAAUUCCAUCUCAAAUGAACCCCUGAGACGGAGGAGUACCCCUCCCUCGGGCUGGUUUCAGUCGCUCUGCCAACUCGGGCACAGAUCGCUCACUUCGCACCUCCGAGUUUUUCCUUUCCCGGCGUCGCCGUCGGUGAUUUCUUCCCUAAGGAAAGUUCCAGCCUGAAG
RNAcentral lists this long non-coding RNA (922 nucleotides) under Apteryx owenii (little spotted kiwi). RNAcentral describes it as "lncRNA (ENSAOWG00000011102.1)". Lineage: Eukaryota; Metazoa; Chordata; Aves; Apterygiformes; Apterygidae. The record is from RNAcentral.